UAUUGGUCAAUGGUCGGGAGACUGAACCAGCCAAGCCGCGUGAGGGAGGAAGGUACAGAGUAUCGUAAACCUCUUUUGUCAGGGAACAAAGGCGGGGACUAGUCCCCGGCUGAGGGUACCUGAAGAAAAAGCAUCGGCUACCGCCGUGCCAGCAGCCGCGGUAACACGGAGGAUGCGAGCGUUAUCCGGAUUCAUUGGGUUUAAAGGGUGCGCAGGCGGCCUGUUAAGUCAGCGGUAAAAGCCCGGGGCUCAACCCCGGCGAGCCGUUGAAACUGGCGGGCUGGAGUUGGAGAGAAGGACGCGGAAUGCGCGGUGUAGCGGUGAAAUGCUUAGAUAUCGCGCAGAACCCCGAUUGCGAAGGCAGCGUACCGGCUCCACACUGACGCUGAGGCACGAAAGCGUGGGUAUCG
This 410-nucleotide ribosomal RNA is filed under the name uncultured bacterium. RNAcentral's name for it is "bacterial SSU rRNA". It matches the Rfam family "Bacterial small subunit ribosomal RNA", at positions 362 to 770 of the family's 1533-position model. The record is from RNAcentral.